This 468-nucleotide ribosomal RNA is filed under the name Comamonas testosteroni. RNAcentral describes it as "bacterial SSU rRNA". It matches the Rfam family "Bacterial small subunit ribosomal RNA", at positions 68 to 534 of the family's 1533-position model. The record is from RNAcentral. Lineage: Bacteria; Pseudomonadati; Pseudomonadota; Betaproteobacteria; Burkholderiales; Comamonadaceae.
GGUACAGGUCUUCGGAUGCUGACGAGUGGCGAACGGGUGAGUAAUACAUCGGAACGUGCCUAGUAGUGGGGGAUAACUACUCGAAAGAGUAGCUAAUACCGCAUGAGAUCUACGGAUGAAAGCAGGGGACCUUCGGGCCUUGUGCUACUAGAGCGGCUGAUGGCAGAUUAGGUAGUUGGUGGGGUAAAGGCUUACCAAGCCUGCGAUCUGUAGCUGGUCUGAGAGGACGACCAGCCACACUGGGACUGAGACACGGCCCAGACUCCUACGGGAGGCAGCAGUGGGGAAUUUUGGACAAUGGGCGAAAGCCUGAUCCAGCAAUGCCGCGUGCAGGAUGAAGGCCCUCGGGUUGUAAACUGCUUUUGUACGGAACGAAAAGCCUGGGGCUAAUACCCCCGGGUCAUGACGGUACCGUAAGAAUAAGCACCGGCUAACUACGUGCCAGCAGCCGCGGUAAUACGUAGGGUG